GACGAACGCUGGCGGCGUGCUUAACACAUGCAAGUCGAACGGAAAGGCCCUGCUUUUGUGGGGUGCUCGAGUGGCGAACGGGUGAGUAACACGUGAGUAACCUGCCCUUGACUUUGGGAUAACUUCAGGAAACUGGGGCUAAUACCGGAUAGGAGCUCCUGCUGCAUGGUGGGGGUUGGAAAGUUUCGGCGGUUGGGGAUGGACUCGCGGCUUAUCAGCUUGUUGGUGGGGUAGUGGCUUACCAAGGCUUUGACGGGUAGGCGGCCUGAGAGGGUGACCGGCCACAUUGGGACUGAGAUACGGCCCAGACUCCUACGGGAGGCAGCAGUGGGGAAUAUUGCACAAUGGGCGGAAGCCUGAUGCAGCAGCGCCGCGUGCGGGAUGACGGCCUUCGGGUUGUAAACCGCUUUCGCCUGUGACGAAGCGUGAGUGACGGUAAUGGGUAAAGAAGCACCGGCUAACUACGUG
RNAcentral lists this ribosomal RNA (468 nucleotides) under uncultured bacterium. RNAcentral's name for it is "partial 16S ribosomal RNA". It matches the Rfam family "Bacterial small subunit ribosomal RNA", at positions 28 to 507 of the family's 1533-position model. The record is from RNAcentral.